Molecule: long non-coding RNA, 2486 nt
Organism: Coturnix japonica (Japanese quail)
Lineage: Eukaryota; Metazoa; Chordata; Aves; Galliformes; Phasianidae
Source: Ensembl
UCCCCCUUCAUGAAUAAAGGCUGGAUGGAAAUGUUUAGAAGCCCAGCACUCUGUGGUGAGUUCUGAGUUUAAAAGGAUGGAGCUGGUUUAGAAUAGCAAAUACUCAAGAGUUCAGUUAGAAAUUGUGCGGUGCUAAAUGUGGAGGGCUAGUUAACUUUCUAUUGAAUUUUAAUGGAGCUUUUUGUUUUGGUUCUCAGAUGAAAUUUGAUUUCUGUGCCUGUUAAUUAUUCCACUGAGAAUUAAAACACGCGGUCAUUGAUCAAGUCUCAUUACAUGUAGGGCACAGUCUUUCUCACACCUGGGAAAGCACUGUGAACGCAAACCUCAGGCUCACAGUUUUAUAGGACAAGUAGUUCUGUAACUGGAAGGACGUUUUGGUGGGAGGUUUAGUGCUGUGAUUGGGUAAGCUCAGAACUGGAGGUAGACAUUUAUCUCUGUAAUGAACUCUUCAGUGGAUUUUCCUGGUUAAUUGCAUCCCAGGUGAGUUAAAUGGCAAGCUGAUUAAGGGCAGAGGGGAAUGAGGAGGUGAGGCAGGUGAGCCUAAGCAACUGGGGCAUCUAUAAAGGAAGGCAGUUAGAAGGCUUCCAUGCUUUCUUUUUCAGCAGGGCUCAUCUGGCAGCUGAGUGGAGUUAGCAGGAGAUGAGAGAGGUCUUCUACUCCCAUCUGUGCCCAUAAAGCAAACUGGACUGCUGCUUGGGUGGGAGACCUACAGAGCAUUAUGGUUGCUAUCGGCGGUGGAACUAAAGGUGGCAUUUUUAUUCCUUGAAUCAACAGUCAGCCAACACCCUCACCUGGUAUUCAAGGUUGCGUGUCUCCUGCCAGGAUGUCCCGCUGCCUUCUGGAAUUAAUGUGGCUGAAAUAUCCCUCAGGAUUCUCCUUGAGGUCAGGAACUCAGCCUCUGGAUCCUCUUCAGUUCUCCUUUCUAGCCCUGAAAUUUGUUGUUGCCAAGUGAAUUUUGCUUCCCCAUCCCAUUCUUCAUAUUUUCCAAGGUCACCUCUCACUGGCAAGGAAAGAUUUGGAGAGAAGACACAGAGGGGAAAGUCCAGGCCUGGAUUGCCUUUUUACCUCUAUAAUUUCAGACCCACUUCUCUCAUCCCUGAGAUCGUUUAAUUGGUGCUCUGUGAUGUGCUACAGUGCAAGUUGUUGGCACUUCCGAGAGUGUUGAGUCAUUCUAAUGUUACUGGGAAUUUAUUUGCCUUCCACAAGGAAUAUCUUUUUUGCUUUUGUUGCUGACAGACCAAGGAACCCUUCCUUUCAGCUUUCUUUUUUUCUUUUCCACUGUUUGUUUAGCUGAAAAUACCUUACCUGUUCCUCUAUUGUGUCUCAUCCCAAACUCAGAAGUGUCUUCCAAAGACACCCAUCAUAAACCAAACUGUGCUGCAUUCCCCCUCUUUCUGUUCCCAGUCACUUCACCUGAGCAAACCUUUUCAUCUCACAGCUGUUCUCAGGAAUGGCACUGAGAGUCUUUUGACUCAAGUUUCUCUUCACUGACAUCUACUCCAAAUCCUGAAGAUCUGGAACUAGCUGGCAAACCAGAAGGAAGAGUUUUCUUCCAUUUUCAUUCAUGGUGCUUUUUAUUGCUUCCUUCCUCCCCUCCUCAUAUUGUGCCCAGUGAACUUUUAAAGCAGGUCAGCAUCUUGUUUGUCAGAAAAGCAUUUGGCUCACUGACAGUUUCCAGAUUUGUGCAGCUAAUCACACUGUGCCUAACCUGAAACCUUCAUAGGGGUCUAUGCAUCCCUUUUGCUAUACGUUCUGGAUUGUUUUAUCCAGACUGAAAAUGAUGGAUCUAGAACAUUUGGUCCUUAUGAAUCCACCCUGCAGCCCUUUCUACUUGCAGACCUCAACCUUCUCCUCAUGUCCAGCAGAGCAGAAGGGUCUCAGGCUCCAGCAAAAACUCAUAUAGGAAAAGGUUAAACAUGAAAUCCUCCAGCAAACCGGUCUCCUGCUGAGAUAUGAGGGCUGCUCUGAAAGCAGUGGCUCCUGUUUUCUUAUUUUGGUGCAUGACAUCAGAGGCUGAUAUUGGUGGUACGGCAGUAGAAGUUGAAUCUUCCCACCGAUAUUUCAUUACCUUUUGUUGCUGUAUGAUAAAUGUCAGCAGAGGGGCAGUCUGACAAAACGGUGUCUGAUGUGGAAGUGCAAAUGAAGCAAAGACAUGUCACGGAGUUCCUCUACUUACAUUCACUGGCACUUGCUGGACACUUAUGGAGACCAAACAAUGCAUGUGAGCACAGAGAGGCAGUGGGUGGUUCAUUUCAGCAGCGGCAACAGUGAUGUAUGACAAGCAACAUUCUGGGCAGCCAUGCAGAUUUUUCUGAGCGCAGCAUGCAGGCUCUUGUUCAUUGCUGGUGAAAAUGCAUAGCUAAUGGUGGUGACUCUGUUGGAAAAUAGCAUUUUUGUUGCUGAGAAUUUGUUCUAUCAAAUAGUAUUCUUGUGCUCUUUGUUUCUGUGGUAGUUUCCAUGGAAAUAAAUAGGAGAUGUUACUUUCA